GACGAACGCUGGCGGCGUGCUUAACACAUGCAAGUCGAACGGAAAGGCCCUGCUUUUGUGGGGUGCUCGAGUGGCGAACGGGUGAGUAACACGUGAGUAACCUGCCCUUGACUUUGGGAUAACUUCAGGAAACUGGGGCUAAUACCGGAUAGGAGCUCCUGCUGCAUGGUGGGGGUUGGAAAGAUUCGGCGGUUGGGGAUGGACUCGCGGCUUAUCAGCUGGUUGGUGGGGUAGUGGCUUACCAAGGCUUUGACGGGUAGCCGGCCUGAGAGGGUGACCGGGCACAUUGGGACUGCGAUACGCCCCAGACUCGUACGGGAGGCAGCAGUGGGAAAUAUUGCGCAAUGGGCGGAAGCCUGAUGCAGCAACGCCGGGUGCGGGAUGACGGCCUUCGGGUUGUAAACCGCUUUCGCCUGUGACGAAGCGUGAGUGACGGUAAUGGGUAAAAAAGCACCGGCUAACUACGUG
Molecule: ribosomal RNA, 468 nt
Filed under: uncultured bacterium
Lineage: Bacteria
Description: partial 16S ribosomal RNA
Rfam family: Bacterial small subunit ribosomal RNA
Source: RNAcentral